Molecule: long non-coding RNA, 332 nt
Organism: Eptesicus fuscus (big brown bat)
Lineage: Eukaryota; Metazoa; Chordata; Mammalia; Chiroptera; Vespertilionidae
Exons: 3
Source: RefSeq, a predicted model, not a curated record
UCAAAUUACUGGAAGUCAAAAUUCUAAAUACUAAGAUGCCUACUACAUUAUGCCAGAAAAUUACAGGUGUCCUUAUCAACUACCUGAGGAGAAGGGAGACAAAGGGAGAAUUGGAGAAGAUGUUCGCUUCAGUCCUAAUGGCUCUGGGGUCCCAUUUUCCAGAAAUGAUCAUUGUCAAGCUAUGGGACAGACCGAACAUAUACUGUCUGCCCCCAAGGAGCCUCAUGGUUGCAGUGGGGAAGAUAAGCCUUUCCCAAGAUACAGUUUCAUUCAUCGGUUCUAUAUGGAGAUAUAUCCUGCCCCUUCUGAGGUUGGCCCAAAAGGAGAAUGAC